CACGCCGUAAACGAUGAGUGCUAGGUGUUAGGGGGUUUCCGCCCCUUAGUGCUGAAGUUAACGCAUUAAGCACUCCGCCUGGGGAGUACGGCCGCAAGGCUGAAACUCAAAAGAAUUGACGGGGGCCCGCACAAGCGGUGGAGCAUGUGGUUUAAUUCGAAGCAACGCGAAGAACCUUACCAGGUCUUGACAUCCUCUGACACCCCUAGAGAUAGGGCUUUCCCUUCGGGGACAGAGUGACAGGUGG
RNAcentral lists this ribosomal RNA (247 nucleotides) under uncultured Bacillaceae bacterium. Its description in RNAcentral is "partial 16S ribosomal RNA". It matches the Rfam family "Bacterial small subunit ribosomal RNA", at positions 796 to 1041 of the family's 1533-position model. The record is from RNAcentral. Lineage: Bacteria; Bacillati; Bacillota; Bacilli; Caryophanales; Bacillaceae.